GCCGUUCCUCCUUCAAUUUUGCCAUUACUGCUCUCACCCGUUGCUUAGCAUUAUGAACUUAUUUCUCGCAGUUUGGGUAAGGAGAAAUUAACUUGAAUGGCAACUUGAUUGUCUUAACCCUUUUCUUGAUCAAUUUGGCUAAGGGAAUCUUUCACUCAUAAUCCAUGAUCUCGGGCAUUUCUCCAAGCGAACAACGUUGCCCCAAGUAUCCCUAGCAUGAAGCAUUUCAGUAAAGGUCUCUUCCUCAGAAAAUCUCCAAUGUGGCAAGAGAUGCAGGUGUUGACGACUCUCUCACAGGAUACCCAAAUUAUUUUUUCUUUUUUCCUUUUUUUUUCUUUUUUUGUUUUGUUUUUUUGUUGUUUUUUUUUAACACAUACACAACAACGAAUACCCAUGAGGGGGACAUUAAGGUAAUUCUCGCAACGGCGUGUGAUACAUGACAUUUGCUGCCAAGAGACAUGCCAUUUAAAUCUUUCCUCUUCUGAGCUCGCAUAGAGUUGCGUUCAUUCAUUUGCCCCUUUCAUCUUUAAUUCACAUUGCAAUAGUUCACUCACGGGACAUGUGGCAUUCAAAGUACCCCUACUCAUGCGAAAGAUGAACCACAUAGGGAACACUAGUAAACAACAUAACAUCUUCCCGACCUUUAGCUCAUGACACUGAUUAAGAGUCCCAUAAACUUCAGUUAGGACAACCAAGACUGGACUCUCAAAGCAAACAUUUUAUCCUGUAAAUGCACUCAUUGCGGCGUAGUCAACAAAAUCCCUUGUACUAGGAAAAAACAUGACACCAUAGUCGAUGAGAACUAGUACAUUCACGUGUUUUCCACUUUUCCUCCUCGGUCAAUCAAUGCAAGAACCACCAUAGAUAUUCUUGAGGAAGGUCCCUUGUUGUACAUUUAAGUAUGAAUUCACUCUCCAACUUCAUAGAGGGAACUUUCAUUAUCCUUGCUAUCUGCAAAUCAGGUAUAUACUGCCCAAGGUGGUAAGAAGUGCUUCCCUUGAGGAAUACAUCUAAGGUCUCCUCAAAUUCUUCUAUUGUUGGCAUCAACAAGAAAUGGGUCAUAGUGUUGGGCUAAAACAAAAAUUGUUGUUGUCUGGACCUCCACCUCUGACAGUUGCAACAAAUUCCCACCCAUUCCUGAAUGCAUUUUUCAAGGUCAUCUUUUUCAUAUCCCUCAAGAGAUUGAUAUUGCCCCCCUUGACUUCAAUGCGUAUGCUUUUCUUCAAAAUGUCUGAACUCAAAUACCCCUGACUCAAAAUUCCAUGUUAAUUUCCAUUUUUACCGUAAUCACAACUUUAUAAUUUCUUGACUAGAACUCACAAAAUUUUGACAAAACCAUAAAAACAUGAGCAACAAAGAAAGAAUGCAGUGAUAUGUACAAGGUGCUUGAUUUUAUUAAGCAAAAGUGAGGGUUAUAAGGAUACACACAUCUCCCUUUAUGCCCUAGAGAAGGUUCAGCGCUUCAGAUUUAAAGUCGAGUAUAUGCAAUCUCACCAGGAUAGUUCCCUGAGCCUAAGGAUCAAAGGUCACUAGAGCUAUGGCCCCCUUCACAGCAUCCCCACAACAGUCUAGUAAUCAACUAGAUGAGGAGACACAAAUGAAGAGAACAGACUCUAGCUGGAGUUCUCACGAUAGCCAAACAAGAAGUACAUCCCAGAGUGACACCACUACACAACUCCUCUAAUUCUAAGUUACGCUCAGACCCGGGUAUAGGGCCUCACUCAACAGAUGCACAAAGUGUGUGUGUGAAGGGAGAAUGCAAUGCACCCAAACACUCACCUGCAAAACAACCAGAGAAUUUUCCCAGGCAGAUAUAACAUGUUUUCUAGCCUAGGGUUCAAUAUUCAACAGUUAUUGCAGUUAUUCCAAAUAUCAAGCAUAGAUAGAGAAAAGGGAAAGAAAAACACAAAGCAAAACCACAUCGAAUUCGCGCAUCUAAUUAAAUGGCCUGACUCUCAUAAGUCCCCAGUGGAGUCGCCAU
RNAcentral lists this long non-coding RNA (1981 nucleotides) under Vigna radiata. RNAcentral describes it as "long non-coding RNA (VRAD_LNC015373)". Lineage: Eukaryota; Viridiplantae; Streptophyta; Magnoliopsida; Fabales; Fabaceae. The record is from RNAcentral.